UUUCACCUUUUUUCAGCAAUGGAUUCUUUCGUGUUUUUAUUAGUAGCUUUGGCUUCAGGAAUGCUUUGCAAUCCCGUCCAGAAUGAGCUUACUUUGCGUGAUUACAACAAACUUCCUCGAAUAUAUGAAUACGAUGAUUUCAGCAAGUGCCGAAGCUUGUUUUCCGAUAAGUUCGUCUACUGUGUAGUGUCCAUAAAAUUACAUCCCAACAACAAUAGUAUGCUUUGGAGAUCUAUUGAUCAUUUAUCAUCAAAUCGGCGAAAUUUCCCUCACGAUAUUCUUGAGCGUGGCUUAUGCCUCAACCAUUUUUUAAUCAGUCACAUAGAGAAGCCAAAAAUUGCAUUUUUGAUAAAUGACCGUAUUAGGAAGCGUAUCCAUGAUGAAUUUGGAUUGAAAAGUAGUUCUUACGUACAGUCCUGUUGGAGCGACGAUAUAUUAUCAAAACAAUAUGGAUUCGGAGAACUAUUCUUUUUGUGUACUGCAAUUGCUUUACUCGCUAUACAAAUAUUGAUGACCAGCAGACAACUAGUUUCCGGAUCGUCUGGAUUACUUGUAGAGACCUUCUCUAUCGUUAGUAACAUGCGACGUCUUACCAUCCCUCGAAAAAACAGUCAAAACGACCUGCUUCUACUGGAGGGACUACGGGUUUUCGGUAUGAUGACUAUACUGAUGGUUCAUUCCGUUUUACCGAUGAUUCGAAUGCCUCUAACAAAUACUGAAGAUUUAGAAUGGCAAACAAAUCACAUCAUAUUUCCUCUUCUAAACUCAGGCAAUACACAUAUGAUACAAUUUUUUUUCGCUCUUGGUGGAAUGGUUUUUGGACUAAGCAGCUGCAAUAGUUUUGACAACUACCCAGGGUCUUUUCGAUUCAUGUUUUUCGUAACCAAAAUUAUUCGUCGAUUGAUAAGAAUUUUGCCAUCUUAUAUUUUUAUUAUUUUUUAUCAAGCAACGGUCUACAAACGAAUCAAAGAAGGGCCAUUAGCUCUGAAAUUUGAUGAUUAUUGUUCUGAAAAUUGGUGGACCAAUAUUUUGUUUGUAAAUAAUUAUGUUCAUACAUCAAAACCGUGUUUAAAGUACAGUUGGUACUUGGGAGUAGAUUUUCAGUUAUCGUUGAUUGCUACAAGUCUAUUGUCACUCAUGUUGAAAUUCCAUCGAUGGAAACAUUUUAUUGCAGUAUGCAUGAUAAUCAGUGCUUUUCUAGUUCCUGCAUACAUCAUUUACAUACAAGACAUAGAACCAACUAUGACUUUCAAUAUGCGAUACACCUUAGAAGAGCUUCGAACGUACAAGCACUUUGUUAAAUUUUACUUGCCCUGUCAAUCGAACAUAAGCAGUUAUUUUUGGGGUAUUUUAACGGCAUUGAUUUACAAAGGUGUUCUUUUUGGAAAAUUCUAUUGUUUUAAAACAAAUUAUCUGUUUAGAGCAUCUGUGAUUGCAUUGGUAUUUUUAAGCGCCAGUACAAUUGUGCUCGAUGAUUUAAAAAUAAGCCUAAUUCUGGGUGCAUUAUAUGGUACCCUAUUAAAAAAUUCGUGGGGGUUAGCUUUCAGUACUUUAUUUAUAUACUUAGCUAAAAAAAACAACCAAGCAAAGAUUGUAAAAUUAUUAUUGCACCCUGUAAUGCAAACUGCUGGCAGGUUGAGCUACAGCAUUUAUCUUGUGCAGUACUCUGUGAUUUACGCCUUUUAUACUAAUUUGAAAAUACCGAUUACCUAUGGAAUAAUGGACGUAAUUACUCUGCUAUCUGUCAUCACGUUAAUCUCCACAUUUACUGGAGUUCUUCUCUUCAUUUCCGUGGAAGCUCCAUUCACGUUUUUGGGAGUGAGAUGUAUACAAUUUGUUUUCAAAGGAAGCGAAACUGGUGCUCUAGACCGCCAUUUAAAGAAGCUGUAACUAAACAAAUAAUGUGAAAAAGGCAUCAUCGUCUGAAGAAGGCGUAUAGCGAGGCGCUUCGCGAAACAUGGCAUCUACUUCUGUGUCCAAAAAAUAAGGUCCGCAGAGCGUAAAGCCAAGCGUCAAUUAAUCACUCACCUAUAACGUAGCGAGACGAACAGUUCUACAAUCGCUGGUAGAGCCAGAAAAUUUAAGAAACUGGAAACACUAUUUCUAAAUCUUCAUUAUUUCUG
Molecule: RNA transcript, 2123 nt
Organism: Anopheles aquasalis
Lineage: Eukaryota; Metazoa; Arthropoda; Insecta; Diptera; Culicidae
Gene name: regulator of hypoxia-inducible factor 1-like
Source: RefSeq, a predicted model, not a curated record